GUGGGGAAUCUUCCACAAUGGACGAAAGUCUGAUGGAGCAACGCCGCGUGAGUGAAGAAGGGUUUCGGCUCGUAAAGCUCUGUUGUCGGGGACGAAUGUGCAGUAUUUGAAUAAAGUAGUGCAAUGACGGUACCUGACGAGGAAGCCACGGCUAACUACGUGCCAGCAGCCGCGGUAAUACGUAGGUGGCAAGCGUUGUCCGGAAUUAUUGGGCGUAAAGGGAGCGCAGGCGGGAAGGUAAGUCGGUCUUAAAAGUGCGGGGCUCAACCCCGUGAUGGGAUCGAAACUAUCUUUCUUGAGUGCAGGAGAGGAAAGUGGAAUUCCUAGUGUAGCGGUGAAAUGCGUAGAUAUUAGGAGGAACACCAGUGGCGAAGGCGACUUUCUGGACUGUAACUGACGCUGAGGCUCGAAAGCCAGGGGAGCGAACGGGAUUAGAAACCCCGGUAGUCC
This 450-nucleotide ribosomal RNA is filed under the name uncultured bacterium. Its description in RNAcentral is "partial 16S ribosomal RNA". It matches the Rfam family "Bacterial small subunit ribosomal RNA", at positions 354 to 796 of the family's 1533-position model. The record is from RNAcentral.